Molecule: ribosomal RNA, 497 nt
Filed under: uncultured bacterium
Lineage: Bacteria
Description: partial 16S ribosomal RNA
Rfam family: Bacterial small subunit ribosomal RNA
Source: RNAcentral
GACGAACGCUGGCGGCGUGCCUAAUACAUGCAAGUUGAGCGCUGAAGGUUGGUACUUGUACCGACUGGAUGAGCAGCGAACGGGUGAGUAACGCGUGGGGAAUCUGCCUUUGAGCGGGGGACAACAUUUGGAAACGAAUGCUAAUACCGCAUAAAAACUUUAAACACAAGUUUUAAGUUUGAAAGAUGCAAUUGCAUCACUCAAAGAUGAUCCCGCGUUGUAUUAGCUAGUUGGUGAGGUAAAGGCUCACCAAGGCGAUGAUACAUAGCCGACCUGAGAGGGUGAUCGGCCACAUUGGGACUGAGACACGGCCCAAACUCCUACGGGAGGCAGCAGUAGGGAAUCUUCGGCAAUGGACGAAAGUCUGACCGAGCAACGCCGCGUGAGUGAAGAAGGGUUUCGGAUCGUAAAACUCUGUUGGUAGAGAAGAACGUUGGUGAGAGUGGAAAGCUCAUCAAGUGACGGUAACUACCCAGAAAGGGGCGGCUAACUACGUG